GAAUGACGGUUCGAGCAGGUGCGAAAGCAGGUCAUAGUGAUCCGGUGGUUCUGUAUGGAAGGGCCAUCGCUCAACGGAUAAAAGGUACUCCGGGGAUAACAGGCUGAUACCGCCCAAGAGUUCAUAUCGACGGCGGUGUUUGGCACCUCGAUGUCGGCUCAUCACAUCCUGGGGCUGAAGUCGGUCCCAAGGGUAUGGCUGUUCGCCAUUUAAAGUGGUACGCGAGCUGGGUUUAGAACGUCGUGAGACAGUUCGGUCCCUAUCUGCCGUGGGCGUUGGAAGAUUGAAGGGGGCUGCUCCUAGUACGAGAGGACCGGAGUGGACGAACCUCUGGUGUUCGGGUUGUGUCGCCAGACGCAUUGCCCGGUAGCUAAGUUCGGAAUUGAUAAGCGCUGAAAGCAUCUAAGCGCGAAGCGAGCCCUGAGAUGAGUCUUCCCUGACAGUUUAACUGUCCUAAAGGGUUGUUCGAGACUAGAACGUUGAUAGGCAGGGUGUGUAAGCGUUGUGAGGCGUUGAGCUAACCUGUACUAAUUGCCCGUGAGGCUUAACCAU
Molecule: ribosomal RNA, 552 nt
Filed under: Vibrio cholerae
Lineage: Bacteria; Pseudomonadati; Pseudomonadota; Gammaproteobacteria; Vibrionales; Vibrionaceae
Description: partial 23S ribosomal RNA
Rfam family: Bacterial large subunit ribosomal RNA
Source: RNAcentral